This 497-nucleotide ribosomal RNA is filed under the name uncultured bacterium. RNAcentral's name for it is "partial 16S ribosomal RNA". It matches the Rfam family "Bacterial small subunit ribosomal RNA", at positions 28 to 507 of the family's 1533-position model. The record is from RNAcentral.
GAUGAACGCUGGCGGCGUGCCUAAUACAUGCAAGUCGAGCGAACAGAUGAGGAGCUUGCUCCUCUGACGUUAGCGGCGGACGGGUGAGUAACACGUGGAUACCCUACCUAUAAGACUGGGAUAACUUCGGGAAACCGGAGCUAAUACCGGAUAAUAUAUUGAACCGCAUGGUUCAAUAGUGAAAGACGGUUUUGCUGUCACUUAUAGAUGGAUCCGCGCCGCAUUAGCUAGUUGGUAAGGUAACGGCUUACCAAGGCAACGAUGCGUAGCCGACCUGAGAGGGUGAUCGCCCACACUGGAACGGAAACACGGACCAUACUCCUACGGGAGGCAGCAGUAGGGAAUCUGCCGCAAUAGGGGAAAGCCUGACGGAGCAACGCCGCGUGAGUUAUGAAAGUCUUCGGAUCGUAAAACUCUGUUAUUAGUUAAGAACAAAUUUGUAAGUAACUAUGCACUUCUUGACGGUACCUAAUCAGAAAGCCACGGCUAACUACGUG